Molecule: ribosomal RNA, 468 nt
Filed under: uncultured bacterium
Lineage: Bacteria
Description: partial 16S ribosomal RNA
Rfam family: Bacterial small subunit ribosomal RNA
Source: RNAcentral
GACGAACGCUGGCGGCGUGCUUAACACAUGCAAGUCGAACGGAAAGGCCCUGCUUUUGUGGGGUGCUCGAGUGGCGAACGGGUGAGUAACACGUGAGUAACCUGCCCUUGACUUUGGGAUAACUUCAGGAAACUGGGGCUAAUACCGGAUAGGAGCUCCUGCUGCAUGGUGGGGGUUGGAAAGUUUCGUCGGUUGGGGAUGGACUCGCGGCUUAUCAGCUUGUUGGUGGGGUAGUGGCUUACCAAGGCUUUGACGGGUAGCCGGCCUGAGAGGGUGACCGGCCACAUUGGGACUGAAAUACGGCCCAGACUCCUACGGGAGGCAGCAGUGGGGAAUAUUGCACAAUGGGCGGAAGCCUGAUGCAGCAACGCCGCGUGCGGGAUGACGGCCUUCGGGUUGUAAACCGCUUUCGCCUGUGACGAAGCGUGAGUGACGGUAAUGGGUAAAGAAGCACCGGCUAAGUACGUG